This 509-nucleotide ribosomal RNA is filed under the name uncultured Lachnospiraceae bacterium. Its description in RNAcentral is "bacterial SSU rRNA". It matches the Rfam family "Bacterial small subunit ribosomal RNA", at positions 903 to 1382 of the family's 1533-position model. Lineage: Bacteria; Bacillati; Bacillota; Clostridia; Lachnospirales; Lachnospiraceae. The record is from RNAcentral.
CUAUGCGCCUUGCCAGCCCGCUCAGAAACUUAAAGGAAUUUGACGGGGGCCCGCACAAGCAGCGGAGCAUGUGGUUUAAUUCGAAGCAACGCGAAGAACCUUACCAAGACUUGACAUCCCCUGACAGCUGUUGAAAGGCAGUGUCUCUUCGGAGCAGGGAGACAGGUGGUGCAUGGUUGUCGUCAGCUCGUGUCGUGAGAUGUUGGGUUAAGUCCCGCAACGAGCGCAACCCUUAUCCUUAGUUACCAGCACGUAAAGGUGGGGACUCUAGGGAGACCGCCGGGGACGACUCGGAGGAAGGUGGGGACGACGUCAAAUCAUCAUGCCCCUUAUGUCUUGGGCUACACACGUGCUACAAUGGCCGCAACAGAGGGAAGCGAGAGCGCAAGCUGGAGCAAAACCCUAAAAGCGGUCCCAGUUCGGAUUGUGGGCUGCAACCCGCCCACAUGAAGUCGGAGUUGCUAGUAAUCGCGAAUCAGCAUGUCGCGGUGAAUGCGUUCCCGGGCCUU